UGAAAUGAAGAAAAUUUUACAACCCGAACCAUCAUGUGGGCCUUUGCCAUUUUUGGUAGAGGGACGUAAUUCUGAUUUA
This 79-nucleotide small nucleolar RNA is filed under the name Drosophila grimshawi. RNAcentral describes it as "snoRNA:GH25863". Lineage: Eukaryota; Metazoa; Arthropoda; Insecta; Diptera; Drosophilidae. The record is from RNAcentral.